AUCGCUUCUCAGCCUUUUGGCUAAGAUCAAGUGUAAAAUUAAACCAGGUUAAAAAAAAAGCUCUAAGUUUGUGUGUGUGUGUGUGUGUGUGUGUUUCAUUUGUUUUGGUUUUUUGAUAUAGGGUUUCUCUGUGUAGCUCUGGCUGUCCUGGAACUCACUCUGUACAUCAGGCUGGCCUUGAACUCAGAGAUCCUUGU
Peromyscus maniculatus bairdii (prairie deer mouse) is the source of this 197-nucleotide small nuclear RNA. RefSeq annotates it as U2 spliceosomal RNA. NCBI's taxonomy places the organism in Eukaryota, Metazoa, Chordata, Mammalia, Rodentia, Cricetidae. The record is from RefSeq and is a predicted model, not a curated record.